Molecule: non-coding RNA, 72 nt
Organism: Glycine max (soybean)
Lineage: Eukaryota; Viridiplantae; Streptophyta; Magnoliopsida; Fabales; Fabaceae
Source: Rfam
UCCAAUGUGGUCCAGCGGUUAGGAUAUUUGGCUUUUACACAAGAGAGCCGGGUUGGGUUCCAGGCAAUGGAA